CUUGAGACAAAUUCAAGAAAAGUGUUUAUAAUUAUUUCAUACAUUUUGCUGUUGAAAAAAUAGUAUUUAAAAAAAGUUUCAUCCUACAGUGAAUUUUUAGCCUCCCCUUUUAAUACUUAUUUUGUGAACAGUGACCUUGUUUUUGUAAACUCUGCUCUGAAGAAGUUUAGAAAUUAGUCACACAGUAAGUGGCAGAACAAGUAUUCAAAGUCUUGCCUGAUUUUCCAUAGUCAUUUAGCUUGGAAAGCACUGUAAAGUGGCAGAAAGAAUAUGGACUUUGAAAUUUAGACACACCUCAAUUUGAUCUCUAACUUUGCUACAUAUUUGCUGCGUGGCAAGUUCUUACCAUUGGUGAUUUUCAUUUUCCUUUUCAGUUAAGUGAGAGCAAUACAUUUGUUAGGAUUAAAUGAAGUAAUGCACAUAAAGCAUUUGGCUUGUAGAAUAAGAUGUUGAUAAAUGUUUAUUUUUCUUUCAGCAAUACCAUAUCGUUUUAAAAUGUCUUGGGAGCCACUUGGACAUUUCACUUGAAAGUUAAGUGCAGUCAGGAAACUAGAAACGUGUAACCCAGGUAGUGAUCUUGUAGGGAAAUUUUAAUUUCCCUGUCUAAGGAGGAAAGUAGUUCUUUGGACUGUUUUAAAAAUAUUUGACUUCAAGGAAAGUUUUCAUGUUAAAAGCUGAAAUAGAACUGAGUUGGGAUGAGUUAAUUAUUGCUAACCAAAAUUGUAAGAGAGUACAUUUCUACAUUUCCUGAGAAAUUGAAACAUUUGUGUUAUAUACAUAGAGAAGUCAGUUUUAAAGGCUAAGGACUGACCAUUUGACAAGUUUAUGAUUAAGAUAUGGGGAGAAAGUGUUCAUUUUUAAAGUAAUAAACAAUAACAAGUUUCUCUUAUCAGAUUUAAGAUUUAAGGAAUGGUGCUGGUUCAGACCUGAGUACAGUGAUGACACAGGCUUUCUUUAUCCUCUGCCACCCUUGAGACAGCGAGACCAACCCCUCCUUUUCCUCCUCCUCUUCAGUCUACUCAACUUGAAGAUGGUGAGGAUGAAGACAUUUAUGAUAAUCUACUCCACUUAAUGAAUGAGAGAGCCUCACUCUAUGGUCCAGGCUGAAGUGCAGUGGUGCAGUCAUACCUCACUACAGCCCCAAACCCCUGGCUUCAGAUGAUCCUUCUGCCUCAGUGUCUGAGAUAGCUGGGAUUAUAGAUAGGGCCAGUUUUGAGUGUGUGAAUUUUUGAGUGAAACCUGGAACCCAAAUGAGAAGAAAUCUGCAAGGAAUAACUACUGACAGUGAAUCUACAGAGUCAUCUGUAUGCAUAAUAUGGAAUGUUCUUAACCCAGAAGUAGCUGAAUGUGUUAUUCCAUUGAUGAGGAGUGACUCUCUGUUAUAGUCCCUGGGUCAAGACAACAAUUUUUAUACCUUCGUCGUGGUUCAGAAAGGAGUCUCUGUAGAACCAGAAGCAAAGAAAGGAAACAAUCCGAGUUUUUCUUUAUUAAAUUGACUGUGUAAGAUACUUGACUUCCAGGAACAAAAACACAGUGAAAUAAUAAAAUUUCAUCUUGGCAUCACUGGACAUUGAUCGUAUUGAGGAGUGUAUUUUGUGGAACUUCCUGAGUUGAGAUUUGGAACCUUCAUUGGUGCUCAUUUAUACUGUGGACUGUAAGCAUGAGUGAAUUCUGGUUGUGUUUCAACUGCUGUAUUGCAGAACAGCCUCAGCCUAAAAGGCGACGACGGAUUGACAGAAGUAUGAUUGGAGAGCCCACAAACUUUGUGCACACGGCUCAUGUUGGAUCAGGAGACCUGUUCAGUGGAAUGAAUUCAGUUAGCUCCAUUCAGAACCAAAUGCAGUCCAAGGGAGGCUACGGAGGUGGAAUGCCUGCCAAUGUGCAGAUGCAGCUCGUGGAUACGAAGGCGGGAUAGCCCUGGUCCUUUCUCCAGGUUAUUGUGAAUUUCUGUAUUUUCUCUGUCCACUAUUCUGUAAUUUUUUUUUGUCCUGUGAUUGCGUUUCUUUUAUUUUGAAUUACAAAAAAGAAGUGUGAUGGCACCUUGUCUACCCUGUCGUGAUUAUUCCAGUGAGAUGUUACUGUUCUGCUCUGAAGAAGAUACUGUCAGACGAAUCCUGCAUUUCCUUCAGCUGGCCUGCAUGCCUUUGGAGUCAUGGACAGAGUUCUUUGGAUUGUCACUGAAUUUUCAAUGUUUAAUCAGUAUGGAUCUGAUCUUCGCAUGAUCUUUUUUGUGAAUGCUAACACCAUUUUGCAGUUUUUUUUUUUUUUCUAUUUUAAACAUUUUUCUUUUCACUGCCGACCCCCUGCCUUACGAUUUUAUUGGAAAGCAAGGACCUGCUAUUAUUUGUUAAUUUGCCAUCAUUUAUGUAUAUUUUGGAAGGUAUGAGACCCACAAGCACAAUGAUCAUUUUUGUUUGAAACUUCAGCAGAAUAGGUAUCUGCAUGCUUUAUGAAGUUGCUUCGGUGAGAGCUCAUGGGAUGCCAGAAAUGAACAUUUCUUUGCUGCCAUGGGCUGAUGAUGCUGCUAUUAGAUAAAGUUUAGCUGUGGCACCAAGUCACAUCAUUUUCAUUGAAAAAGAUUACUUGUAGCUUUAGAAGUAUGACCUUUUGGUCUGUUUGAUUAGAAUUGCAAUAAAAGAAAAGCUUGCAUUCAUAAGGCAUUCAUUCUGUUGUAAAUGUUCAAUAUAUAUUUAUUUUGAGAGCAAGGACCUGUGGUUGUAAACAGGUGUGGUCACGUAUCUGAGUGUUGUGGUCAUACUCUCAUCCAGUCCGAUCCUGAGCAUCUUCAUCUUAUUAGCUGUCCGUUUCUUUCUGCACUCAUUCUUUUAUUUUUACUUCUUUUUAAUGUUAUGGUAUCCAGUUGUUUCCAGUAGCAGUUUCUUGAACUUCUGGCCUGUACUACUAACUGCAGAGACCUCCACAGUCACUGGCCUUUCUGUGCCCUACAUAUUUUAGGGGCCACGUCAGUUGGUAAGAGCAACAUACAUACUGACCUGGCUGAAUUAUUGCCAGUGAAAACAACCUGUACGAAGCCUUUGCUCAGGUUCUAAAAUAUGUUUGUCCUUGCACAAAUUUUGUAUGUUUCAGAUAUUUCUGUAAAGCUUUCUUCUUUUCUGUUAGAGUGUGGUGUUAAGCCAGAGUCAGUGGUCUUGUCCUCAUUAAACUGUUUUAAUCCUGUGUCCAAUUCAAGCCUACCUAACUACAUUUGGUAGGAUUAACAUUUCAUGUAACAAAUGGGGCUUAAUUAAAAACUUUAGAUAACUUUGAAUAAAGGAACAGGGAUCACUUUAUCUUCUGCCUUCAUUUACCUUAGUCCCAGAUUCUU
Molecule: RNA transcript, 3325 nt
Organism: Cercocebus atys (sooty mangabey)
Lineage: Eukaryota; Metazoa; Chordata; Mammalia; Primates; Cercopithecidae
Gene: CDC42SE2
Gene name: CDC42 small effector 2
Exons: 8
Source: RefSeq, a predicted model, not a curated record